UAAAAACUAAACACCGGUAAGAACACACACCUCUUCGCUCUUUACACCCCCCAACAACUGCGGCCCAGGGUAACUGAUUCUCUUUAAAAUUGAAAACUCAGUCUUCGCUUUACAAUUUUACAACCAACAGUCCCUUAAUUCCCUUCUCUUCUUAUUUCGCUCGCUUACAACUGGUUAUUGCGUCUAUUACCGGAAGCAAAGAGCCUCCAUCUCUUCCCCUUUUUCUGAUUCUGUUUGAUUCUUAUUUCCCUCAAGGCCGCUUGCAAUUUUGUUAAUCCUUGACCAAUUUAUGCAAGGAGUUACAGGUACCCAUGUGAAAUAUCUUUUUCUAGGCGUCAAGCAGUUCAGAUCUUUUACGGCACAUGAUUGACAUAUGAAAUUUCAUUCAUAUGUGAUGAAGAAUGUAGUGGUUCUUCUAAUAUCAUCCAUCUGAAAAGUGAAAAGGAAAGAAGAGGUUUUAGGCUUUUAGCAAGAGCUCAUAUUGUUAUAGAGGAGAGGAAUUAACCAUCAUCCUUCUUCAUCAUUCAUUAUGACAAUUGCAAAUGAAAUCCAUCUAUAAAAUUUGCAUUUAAGGAAGAAAUGACGAAGAUGAAAAGUACCAUAACUUUCAAAGACCCAUAUCAUCUAUAUUCCAACCGAUCUCUCACCACUUCGGCACCCGAUAUAUUUGUUAGUUUUAGAGUAGGAAAAGGAAACAUGAGUUUGAUACAUGAGGACUAAUUCGAGUUGAUGGUAAUUUUAUUUAUCAAGUUUAUGACAAAAUUAUGUAUUUGUUAGUUCAAUGGGAUUGUGGUUCACUUGCUUCGCUGUCUAGCAGAUAUUGUUUUUUCUAUGUGGCGAAUUCGAGAAUUGCACGGAGAAAAAAAAAAACCCAAAAAAUUGCUUUGAAACAGAAAUAGAAGCAAAGUAUGAGAAGAAAAAAAGUUGAAAUGGCUGCUUUAGAAGAGGAGGAGAAUGUUGGAUUGCAACUUCAAGAUUGAUCAUUUGCAGGGCAAUGUAUUACCCAAUUCAUAUAGAACCUGAAUGUGAUUUCUCACAUAACAUGUUACUUUCUGCUGUAAUUAAGCUACAUUGAACCAAUUUAAUGAAUGCACUAGCUUAUUUGCAAAGUGAACGGCUUUUUCAAAAAGAUUAAUUUGUAAGAUCAUCUAU
Lycium ferocissimum is the source of this 1152-nucleotide long non-coding RNA. RefSeq lists it as uncharacterized. NCBI's taxonomy places the organism in Eukaryota, Viridiplantae, Streptophyta, Magnoliopsida, Solanales, Solanaceae. The transcript is spliced from 5 exons. The record is from RefSeq and is a predicted model, not a curated record.